Sorex fumeus (smoky shrew) is the source of this 436-nucleotide long non-coding RNA. RefSeq lists it as uncharacterized. The transcript is spliced from 4 exons. Lineage: Eukaryota; Metazoa; Chordata; Mammalia; Eulipotyphla; Soricidae. The record is from RefSeq and is a predicted model, not a curated record.
UGGGCUCUAGCCUCAGGAGGAAGGUUUUAUCAUCAGAAUAAUUCAAGCUGGUGAUUUUCUGGCAAGGCAAAUCUAUGAGCCAAAUGAGAGGAGUGAAGAUGUAUGCUUUUGUUGCAGGGUAAAGAGAGAUGGAGAACAGGAGAUGAAAGGGGAAUGAGAAGCCGCCACUAACGACUCUUCAGUUAGAACCAUCGCCACAGACUGUCCUGAGGCUUCUGGCAUCUUCUUUCAUUUCCAGUUCUGGAACAGAAUUUGCUAAGUAAUAAGACUCUUCUGAAUGUUGGAACCUAAUGUGAAGAAAUGAAUAUUCCUUUGGAUUCUGCUUGGGUCACACCUGGCAACUCCCAGAACUUACUCUUAGCUCUGCACUGAGGGAUCACUCCUGGCGGGCCUCAGAGAACUGUAUGAGGCUCUUUCCUCAAGUUGGCUGCGUGCA